GAUGAACGCUGGCGGCGUGCCUAAUACAUGCAAGUCGAGCGAACAGACGAGGAGCUUGCUCCUCUGACGUUAGCGGCGGACGGGUGAGUAACACGUGGAUAACCUACCUAUAAGACUGGGAUAACUUCGGGAAACAGGAGCUAAUACCGGAUAAUAUAUUGAACCGCAUGGUUCAAUAGUGAAAGACGGCUUUGCUGUCACUUAUAGAUGGAUCCGCGCCGCAUUAGCUAGUUGGUAAGGUAACGGCUUACCAAGGCAACGAUGCGUAGCCGACCUGAGAGGGUGAUCGGCCACACUGGAACUGAGACACGGUCCAGACUCCUACGGGAGGCAGCAGUGGGGAAUCUUCCGCAAUGGGCGAAAGCUUGACGGAGCAACGCCGCGUGAGUGAUGAAGGUCUUCGGAUCGUAAAACUCUGUUAUUAGGGAAGAACAAAUGUGUAAGUAACUAUGCACGUCUUGACGGUACCUAAUCAGAAAGCCACGGCUAACUACGUG
RNAcentral lists this ribosomal RNA (497 nucleotides) under uncultured bacterium. RNAcentral's name for it is "partial 16S ribosomal RNA". It matches the Rfam family "Bacterial small subunit ribosomal RNA", at positions 28 to 507 of the family's 1533-position model. The record is from RNAcentral.